RNAcentral lists this long non-coding RNA (587 nucleotides) under Lathyrus oleraceus (garden pea). Its description in RNAcentral is "Pisum sativum (pea) long non-coding RNA (PSAT_LNC042072)". Lineage: Eukaryota; Viridiplantae; Streptophyta; Magnoliopsida; Fabales; Fabaceae. The record is from RNAcentral.
AAACCGUUAUUCAUUUUACAUAUCUGAAAUAAUGACUUUGCAUGGCAAAAAAGAGACAAAGCAAAGGAAUACAAUUUAAAAAGAAAAAACUGUCACAGGCUGCGGAAGGACAAAACAACAAACGGCAUGCCAUAAUACCAAAAGCCGACUGCAUACGCAGCUCAGAGUACUCCUAUCGAAGUAGGCCAUGUUGCAGACCUUUGCAGCAUGAUUAUCCAUGGAUGAUGCAGAUAUGUUACUCCAAGAACCUGCAAGUCAUUUUCCCAAAGACAUGUGGUGACCUGAAGAAUUAAAAGCCAUACAUCAUAUCAUGUAAUCCGACUUUGGCAAGGAUAAACAACACACAAAGCCAACAUAAGUUCAAGUCCACCAAGGCCAAUGAUGUGCAAACUUCACAUUUGCAGCCAAUAUGCAGGAAUCAACUUGACAUCAGAAUCUUACACACCCUACAUCAUAAAGGUAAAUAACUUAAAGUUGCAGGGGAAGGGAAACAAGGUUGAUACGUGAUGGUAAGUUGUACACUUACAAAGGACAUAUUAUUUUCAUUUCCUCACGAACCUUCAUGAUUUUCUUACCACCACUUGACA